AGCAGCCGCGGUAAUUCCAGCUCCAAUAGCGUAUAUUAAAGUUGUUGCAGUUAAAAAGCUCGUAGUUGAAUUUCGGGGUUAGUAGGUUGGUCGUGCCACUGGUACGUACUGGUCUCACUGACUCCUCCUUCCUGAUGAACUGUAAUGCCAUUAAUUUGGUGUUGCAGGGAAACUGGACUGUUACUUUGAAAAAAUUAGAGUGUUUAAAGCAAGCUAACGCUUGAAUACAUUAGCAUGGAAUAAUGAAAUAGGACGUUCGAUCCUAUUUUGUUGGUUUCUAGGAUUGACGUAAUGAUUAAUAGGGAUAGUUGGGGGCAUUAGUAUUCAAUUGUCAGAGGUGAAAAUUCUUGGAUUUAUUGAAGACUAACUACUGCGAAAAGCAUUUGCCAAGGAUGUUUUCAUUAAUCAAGAACGAAAGUUAGGGGAUCGAAGACGAUCAGAUACCGUCGUAGUCUUAACCAUAAAACUAUGCCGACUAGGGAUCGGAUGAUGUUAAUUUUUUAAUGACUCGUUCGGCGCC
RNAcentral lists this ribosomal RNA (520 nucleotides) under uncultured Glomus. Its description in RNAcentral is "SSU rRNA". It matches the Rfam family "Eukaryotic small subunit ribosomal RNA", at positions 569 to 1087 of the family's 1831-position model. The record is from RNAcentral. Lineage: Eukaryota; Fungi; Glomeromycota; Glomeromycetes; Glomerales; Glomeraceae.